CGGUAAUUCCAGCUCCAAUAGCGUAUACUAAAGUUGUUGCAGUUAAAAAGCUCGUAGUUGGAUUUCUGCGGGGACGGAGCGGCCGGACGCAACUUGCGUCUCGAGCUAGCGCUUUCCCCGCAUCCUGCCGCGAACCGUGCUACCAUUAGCUUGGUGGCGCUGGGGAUCGGCUCGAUUACUUUGAGAAAAAUAGAGUGUUCAAAGCAGGCCACACGCCUUGAAUAAGUUAGCAUGGAAUAAUGACUAAGGACUUCGGUUCUAUUUUGUUGGUGUUCGGGACUGAAGUAAUGAUUGAUAGGGACAGUUGGGGCGGUCUGUAUUCCAAAGCGAGAGGUGAAAUUCUUAGACCUUCGGAAGACAAACAGCUGCGAAAGCGUUCCGCAAGGAUGUUCCCUUUGAUCAAGAACGAAAGUUGGGGGAUCGAAGACGAUCAGAUACCGUCGUAGUCUCAACUAUAAACUAUACCAGCUAGGGAUCGGUCAACGUUUAAUCAUUCGACUUGAUCGGCACCUUAUGAGAAAUCAAAGCAUCUGGGUUCCGGGGGGAGUAUGGUCGCAAGGCUGAAACUUAAAGGAAUUGACGGAAGGGCACCACCAGCCGUGGAGCCUGUGGCUUAAUUUGACUCAACACGGGAAAACUUACCAGGUCCAGACAUAGUAAGGAUUGACAGAUUGAUAGCUCUUUCUUGAUUCUGUGGGUGGUGGUGCAUGGCCGUUCUUAGUUGGUGGAGUGAUUUGUCUGGUUAAUUCCGUUAACGAACGAGACCCCAGCCUGCUAAAUAGCGCGGUUGAGCUUUGCUCGAUGCGAGCUUCUUAGAGGGACUAUGAUGCGCGAUAGCACAUGGAAGUUUGGGGCAAUAACAGGUCUGUGAUGCCCUUAGAUGUUCUGGGCCGCACACGGGCUACACUGGCGCCUGCAACGAGCAUAUCAGCUGGCCCGAGAGGGUCUUGGCUAAUCUUUUGAACCGGCGCCGUGCUUGGGAUUGACCAUUGCAAUUGUUGGUCAUGCAACGAGGAAUGCCUUGUAAACGCGAGUCAUCGGCUCGCAUUGAAUACGUCCCUGCUCUUUGUACACACCGCCC
RNAcentral lists this ribosomal RNA (1081 nucleotides) under uncultured Rhizaria. RNAcentral describes it as "SSU rRNA". It matches the Rfam family "Eukaryotic small subunit ribosomal RNA", at positions 577 to 1674 of the family's 1831-position model. The record is from RNAcentral.